GAAGGUUUGGCCCUUCGGAGUCGCCUUUCGGGAGGAGGCUUCAAACCACCACGCAUAUGCUGCGUUGGCUGAAGACCGUCGUGGUGAGCGAUGUGGAAAAGGCGCCGUGA
Molecule: non-coding RNA, 110 nt
Filed under: Micromonospora sp. Llam0
Lineage: Bacteria; Bacillati; Actinomycetota; Actinomycetes; Micromonosporales; Micromonosporaceae
Source: RNAcentral